Molecule: ribosomal RNA, 230 nt
Filed under: uncultured bacterium
Lineage: Bacteria
Description: partial 16S ribosomal RNA
Rfam family: Bacterial small subunit ribosomal RNA
Source: RNAcentral
UAAUACAUAAGUAACCUGCCCUAGACAGGGGGAUAACUAUUGGAAACGAUAGCUAAGACCGCAUAGGUACGGACACUGCAUGGUGACCGUAUUAAAAGUGCCUCAAAGCACUGGUAGAGGAUGGACUUAUGGCGCAUUAGCUGGUUGGCGGGGUAACGGCCCACCAAGGCGACGAUGCGUAGCCGACCUGAGAGGGUGACCGGCCACACUGGGGCUGAGACACGGCCCAG